UACGUAGGGGGCAAGCGUUGUCCGGAUUUAUUGGGCGUAAAGAGCGUGUAGGCGGUCUGGUAGGUCCGUUGUGAAAACUCGAGGCUCAACCUCGAGACGCCGAUGGAAACCAUCAGACUAGAGUCCGGAAGAGGAGAGUGGAAUUCCUGGUGUAGCGGUGAAAUGCGCAGAUAUCAGGAGGAACACCUGUGGCGAAAGCGGCUCACUGGACCAUAACUGACGCUGAUGCACGAAAGCUAGGGGAGCAAACAGG
This 253-nucleotide ribosomal RNA is filed under the name uncultured bacterium. RNAcentral's name for it is "partial 16S ribosomal RNA". It matches the Rfam family "Bacterial small subunit ribosomal RNA", at positions 524 to 776 of the family's 1533-position model. The record is from RNAcentral.